ACCACUCCAUCACUCUGUCAGCCGCCUCCCUCUCUCAUCUUCCUCACGCCCUCGCUCCCCAGUUCUCUCGACACCGCGGUGCCCCCUCCCCUCCCAACGCGGCUUCCUCUCCCUCGUACUCCGGUCACCCUUUCCCUCUCACUCCGACCACCCUCUCCCUCUCCACUCUUGUUGCCCUCCCUCUCCCUCUCCACAUCCCGAUGGCGAGCGCAAGGCGCGGAGCGGCAGUGUGACCAGCCUCGAGAUUGGACGUGGAGCAGCAACGACGGGGUCAUGAGGUACAUCAUCAGCCCCUCCUGUUCGCCCUGUCUCCCUCUUUUCUCCUCUCAUCCUCACUCGUCCCUCUCUCUUCGUAGAUCCAUAGCCAACUGUCCUCCAACCAUGGAUUCGAUUUGGUGGUGGAUCCGGUGUCUCGGAUCAUGGAUCUGACAUUAGGGCUCGUAGAUCUAGGGCUACGGGUGGCGGCCUCCCCUCCCUCCCCAGGACGCUCCUCUCUUCCUGCGCAUGUGACAGCGCACGGCGGUGGACCUAGGCCUACGGUUUGCAGAAUGGGUGCGGCAAAUCCAGGCUCACUAACGGGUUUGCUGGUGGGUUUAGAGAUUUUUUUUUUGUUUUUUACCGAUUAACCAAGACGAACAUUCUAAAAUGCCCAAUUAAGAGUGGCGGGCACAUGCAACCGCCGCAGUUAAUAGUGGUAGUAGUGCAUUACGUAUUUUGUAAAGAAGAAAAUACUAACAAAGGUGUGAACACAUCAGACCUGACACGCGGCCACAAAUAUAUAAAUACACUCGUCGUUAGUAGAUACCCAACUAAACAAAUCGCCCUGCAUCUGCAUCUGAGACGAGACGACGAUGGUGACACGCGGGGACGACGACGACGCGUGACGGCGUGGCCUCAUCAUUCUCAGCCAAAUAAAGCUCCGCCGUUGCGAUCGAUCCAUCGUACGUACUACGUACUUGCUCCAAUAAGAAAAUGGGGAAAACAAUCACAAUUAAGCAAGCAAAUGGAACUUGAUUGACUGACUAACCCUGUCUGGCUCUCUCGAGUCAAGGACGCGGCUGUACGUGUGGUUAUUAGUUCAGUUGGGCGCUGGAUCUGAUGGUGACCGGAUGUAUAUAUAUAAAUAUAUACAUAAUAUAAUUAACUUGGAGGAGAAGAUCGAUCGUACAGAUAUAUAUAUUGUUUGCAAAGACCCAAGCAUCCUCAGUCAAGAGACGCUGAAUUAAUGAAGCGUUGGACCGUCCUUGCAACUGCUUAUGUCUGAACGAACAUGAACAUCUUUUCUUUGGUCAAAGAUAUAGAAAGUGAACUUUGGACAAAUUCAAUAGUUAACAGAUCUGGAAUUCCGAAUGAUUAAGGCCUUGUUUAGUUUGUGAUGGGGAAAAUUUCGCGACACUUUAGCACUUUCGUUUGUUUGUGGUAAUUAUUGUCCAACCAUGGACUAACUAGGCUCAAAAGAUUGGUCUCGUAAAUUUCGACCAAACUGUGCAAUUAGUUUUUAUUUUCGUUUAUAAUUAAUACUCCAUCCAUGCGUCUAAAGAUUCGACGUGACGGAAAAUCUUGAAAAAUUUUAGGUUUUUGAUGGAAGUAAACAAGGCCUAAUGGCCAGCGAACUGAGUGAGUUUUCUUAUGGUGGAAUCUUUUUAUCUAGGUUAAUUAAGUCCUCAAUAUAUUGUUAUUCAGAUCAACGGUCCACAGUUAUUUGAGUGUACCAUAAUAAAGUCUAUUAGUUCUAUGUACAAAUCAUCGUCUUAUAUACAUAAAAUAAAAUAAAAUAAAAUAAAAUAAAAUAAAAUAAAAUAAAAUAAAAUAAAAUAAAAUAAAAUAUGGCUACACAAACGUGCGUCCCAUCCCAAUACUAUGCAUGUGUGUGUCUAUGCACAUGUUAUAAAAUACUAUUCAGGUCAUGUUAGAAAAGUUAGAUCAUGCAUGCAUAUUAUAUCUAAUAGAAAGAUAUUUUUCUUAUAUAAUUAUUACCUCUUACGAGGUAAUAUGUGAUAAUUGUUAUUUAGAUCGACGGUCCACAGUUAUUUGAGUGUACCAUAGUAAAGUCCAUAUAUAAAUAUAACAUGUGCUUGAAUUUAUCUCACUAUCUAACAACACUAUUUUUUUUGAAUUGUACGUAGGAGAUGAGUCCGUCCAUAGAGUCUAUCUUUGAUAAUUUCAUUUCAAGGCCGACUAAAUUAAAUCGAUCUUUCAAAUAUCUUUAUAGAGAUAGAGUGUGAAUAUGUUUAUAGAGAUAGAGAGUGUGUAUGUCAGUUUAUACAAGGAUAAAGUGCAUGCCUGCGUGUUUGUAAGCUCCUAAACUAUAAGCUUGCACUUCAUUUGAGAAUGGAUAGGCCUGCAUUUUGUCUGGUAGACGAUCGACUGGGACAGGAAAGAUUAUUGAAGGUUGAGGCUGAUUGGUGUCGAAAAAGGAAUGCAUGCAACCGGAUUUAUCCAUGAACCCAUAAAUAGAUUAAUUUUGCAGAUUAUAUAUAUGGGAGUAAUUCGUAAAAAAAUAAAUCUAUUUGUAG
This 2516-nucleotide long non-coding RNA is filed under the name Sorghum bicolor (sorghum). Its description in RNAcentral is "long non-coding RNA (SBIC_LNC018171)". The record is from RNAcentral. Lineage: Eukaryota; Viridiplantae; Streptophyta; Magnoliopsida; Poales; Poaceae.